UAAGACGGAGGAGGCUAGCGUUGUUCGGAAUUACUGGGCGUAAAGCGCACGCAGGCGGCGUGCCAAGUCGGAGGUGAAAUCCCGGGGCUCAACCCCGGAACGGCCUCCGAUACUGGCAUGCUGGAACGAGGGAGAGGAGAGCGGAAUUCCCAGUGUAGAGGUGAAAUUCGUAGAUAUUGGGAAGAACACCGGUGGCGAAGGCGGCUCUCUGGCCCUCUGUUGACGCUCAUGUGCGAAAGCGUGGGGAGCAAACAGG
This 256-nucleotide ribosomal RNA is filed under the name uncultured archaeon. RNAcentral's name for it is "partial 16S ribosomal RNA". It matches the Rfam family "Bacterial small subunit ribosomal RNA", at positions 521 to 776 of the family's 1533-position model. The record is from RNAcentral.